Molecule: ribosomal RNA, 29 nt
Filed under: Rhodotorula mucilaginosa
Lineage: Eukaryota; Fungi; Basidiomycota; Microbotryomycetes; Sporidiobolales; Sporidiobolaceae
Also listed under: 1 other name
Description: partial 28S ribosomal RNA
Source: RNAcentral
UAGAUCUCAAAUCAGGUAGGACUACCCGC